Molecule: ribosomal RNA, 254 nt
Filed under: uncultured bacterium
Lineage: Bacteria
Description: partial 16S ribosomal RNA
Rfam family: Bacterial small subunit ribosomal RNA
Source: RNAcentral
GACGGAGGAUGCAAGUGUUAUCCGGAAUCACUGGGCGUAAAGCGUCUGUAGGUGGUUUAAAAAGUCCACUGUUAAAGAUUGAAGCUUAACUUCAAAAAUGCCGUGGAAACUUUUAAACUUGAGUAUGAUAGGGGGUAGAGGGAAUUUCCAGUGGAGCGGUGAAAUGCGUAGAUAUUGGAAAGACCACCAAUGGCGAAGGCACUCUACUGGGCCAUUACUGACACUGAGAGACGAAAGCUAGGGGAGCAAAUGGG